GGCGUGCCUAUAAUGCAGUCGUGCGGGUAUCGAAAGAUACCAGCGGCGGACGGGUGAGGAACACGUGGGGAAUCUGCCUAACAGACCGGAAUAACGCCUGGAAACGGGUGCUAAGGCCGGAUAGGCGCAUGAGGCGCAUGCCUGAUGCGGGAAAGGAUGCUAUGGCAUCGCUGACAGAGGACCCCGCGGCGCAUUAGCUAGUUGGUAGGGUAAAGGCCUACCAAGGCGACGAUGCCUAGCCGACCUGAGAGGGUGACUGGCCACACUGGGACUGACACACGGCCCAGACUCCUACGGGAGGCAGCAGUAUGGAAUCUUCCGCAAUGGGCGCAAGCCUGACGGAGCAACGCCGCGUGAGCGAGGAAGGCCUUCGGGUUGUAAAGCUCAGUCAAGGGGGAAGAGCGGCAAGGAGAGGGAAUGCUCUUUGCGAGACGGUACCCCAAGAGGAAGCCCCGGCUAACUACGUGCCAGCAGCCGCGGUAAU
RNAcentral lists this ribosomal RNA (484 nucleotides) under uncultured bacterium. RNAcentral's name for it is "bacterial SSU rRNA". It matches the Rfam family "Bacterial small subunit ribosomal RNA", at positions 41 to 524 of the family's 1533-position model. The record is from RNAcentral.